GUCAUUCAUGGAGCAUUUUCUGCAGGAUGGAGUGUGUUAGCACUUCACAACUAUUUUAUCAGUUGGAAACACACACAGGAAUUCCGGUUUGGGAAUGACCAUCAAGUUCCUGGCUACUACAGGAAGGUGUGCAUAAAAAGCACUUCCAGAGUGGGCAGCCUCUACCAGUCCUCUCCAUUCAGCGAGGGAGCACAAGGGAAGUACACAUUUGUAUAUAUUGAUGAAACCAAAAUUGGGAGAUGGCCUAGAUGAUAGGCCUGAAGUCAGUCAAUUGAGUAGAGGUGAGGUGGCAGCUGUAACCACGGAGUCUCAAGACGCUUGGCAUUGUGUUCUAUAUUCUAUGAUGGAAACUACCCUUACCUCUAACCUCAACAUCCAAUGAACCUGGAGGCCUGCAGUAAUUUCAAAGUGGGAUGGGAUUGUUGACUCCUCUAAACCAGACCAAACCUUGGAUUUCGUCCCACAGAAAAACAAGAUCAAGAGUAUCUGCCUGCUUUACGGUCCAUUAUUACUUUUGGUACGCGCUAGGCCAGUCUCAAACUCGUACCGUGAGUAAUAAUGCACUGUGGCUGUCACUGCCAACGAGGGACAGACCACACCACCAUAUCUUACGUUCACUGUUCUCCAUAUUCCUAUGCAUCUCGUUGUUGUAAAGCAAGAAAUGUGAUAUAUUCAUGAAAACAGUGUUGGAAACUCUAAGGCCUUGUGUGGGGAAAGACAGAAUUUUAAUAUAAUCCUUUGUCUACUUUCAUAAACAGAUUAUUCAUUUUACUUAAAUAUUAUUGUUGAGUUGUUUACAUGAAAUAUGUUGAAUUUUCUGUACCUUGUGAUUGUAAGCUAUAUGCGAAUGAAUAAUAAUAAAAAUACUUGAAUUUA
This is a long non-coding RNA of Oncorhynchus gorbuscha (pink salmon), 876 nucleotides long. RefSeq lists it as uncharacterized. The transcript has 2 exons. The record is from RefSeq and is a predicted model, not a curated record. NCBI's taxonomy places the organism in Eukaryota, Metazoa, Chordata, Actinopteri, Salmoniformes, Salmonidae.